This 117-nucleotide ribosomal RNA is filed under the name Sinocyclocheilus anshuiensis. The record is from RNAcentral. Lineage: Eukaryota; Metazoa; Chordata; Actinopteri; Cypriniformes; Cyprinidae.
UCCGGCAGCCAUAUCACCCUGCAGCCCAAGACUGGUUGCCCACUGAAGCUAAGCAGGGUUGAGCCUGGUCAGUACCUGGAUGGGAGACCUCCUGGGAAAACUAGGUUGCUGCUGGAA